UGGGGAAUAUUGGGCAAUGGGGGCAACCCUGACCCAGCGACGCCGCGUGAGGGAAGACGGCCUUCGGGUCGUAAACCUCUGUCAGGAGGGAUGAAGGGCUGAUAGUCGAAUAGGCUAUUAGUUUGACGGUACCUCCAGAGGAAGCACCGGCUAACUCCGUG
This 161-nucleotide ribosomal RNA is filed under the name uncultured bacterium. Its description in RNAcentral is "partial 16S ribosomal RNA". It matches the Rfam family "Bacterial small subunit ribosomal RNA", at positions 355 to 507 of the family's 1533-position model. The record is from RNAcentral.